UACGGGGGGGGCAAGCGUUGUUCGGAAUUAUUGGGCGUAAAGAGCUCGUAGGCGGCUUGUCACGUCGGGUGUGAAAGCCCGGGGCUUAACCCCGGGUCUGCAUUCGAUACGGGCUAGCUAGAGUGUGGUAGGGGAGAUCGGAAUUCCUGGUGUAGCGGUGAAAUGCGCAGAUAUCAGGAGGAACACCGGUGGCGAAGGCGGAUCUCUGGGCCAUUACUGACGCUGAGGAGCGAAAGCGUGGGGAGCGAACAGG
RNAcentral lists this ribosomal RNA (253 nucleotides) under uncultured bacterium. Its description in RNAcentral is "partial 16S ribosomal RNA". It matches the Rfam family "Bacterial small subunit ribosomal RNA", at positions 524 to 776 of the family's 1533-position model. The record is from RNAcentral.